AUGCGAGUAAAUUCUGGGCCUGUCUUCCAUUUCUAUGGCCCUUCCAUAGCCCUGGAAUCCAAUCUCAAGUGCUUGCGGUAUCUUUUAGGUAUCCUCCAGGGUGCCAGUGGGGACAUUGUGGUGACCCAGUCUCCAGCCUCUCUGGCUAAGUCUCAAGGAGAAACGGUCACCAUCAACUGCAAGGCCAGCCAGAGUGUGAGCAGCUACUUAGCCUGGUACCAGCAGAAGCCAGGACAGGCUCCUAAGCUGCUCAUCUACAAGGCAUCAAGUCGGGCAUCUGGGGUCCCUGACCGGUUCAGUGGCAGUGGGUCAGGGACAGACUUCACUUUCACCAUCAGCAACUUCCAGGCUGAAGACGCCGCAGUUUAUUAUUGUCAGCUGUAUUAUAGUGCUACACCCACAGUGCUUCAGCCUCGAACAAAAACCUCCUCCUGA
Loxodonta africana (African savanna elephant) is the source of this 435-nucleotide non-coding RNA. NCBI's taxonomy places the organism in Eukaryota, Metazoa, Chordata, Mammalia, Proboscidea, Elephantidae. The record is from the annotation of a RefSeq genome assembly.